UUUCUUUAUUCCUUCUUCUCUUUGUAUGACUCCUGAAUCUUUUGUUCCCCAAAAAACUGCUUCGUUCUCUGAUAACUCAAUUUUUAUACUCAUCCCCGGAAAAUUUUAACUAGGAUAUGAAUAUCUAUUGGAAAAGUACAAAUAGAGAGAUUGAGAUAUUGAAAGUUUUAAGCUAAAGCGUAAAGUCAAGAAGCCGGGUCAUGUCUAAAAGCAGAACCAUUGUAUCUUCAUUAAGGAUAUUUUUCCUAAUUAAAGCUGCUGAGGUAAAGCUUCCUUUUAUUGAGAUUUACAGGUAUUAGAACACCAUGUCACAACGAACCGGCAUCAAUUAUGAAGCUACGAUGAUCAUAUAACACCAGCUUUAUCUGAUUAAACAUGCAAAAUGCAAGUUGUAGAUAAAAAUCAAGAGCGAGAAAAUCUUCACAAUAAAAAGAAGACUUCAGAAUUUUAUCUUGCAAGAUGAAGAGGUAAUUUGAUUUAUCUUCUAUCUAAUUGUAACGACAUGACCAGUCGAUUUGAGCAUUUGCACUUCGCUCGGUAGUUUCGGGGCACGAGUAGCUCUGUAUGAUGUAUUAGGACUU
Nicotiana tabacum (common tobacco) is the source of this 581-nucleotide non-coding RNA. The record is from RefSeq and is a predicted model, not a curated record. NCBI's taxonomy places the organism in Eukaryota, Viridiplantae, Streptophyta, Magnoliopsida, Solanales, Solanaceae.